GGAGGGGUGCAAACGUUGCUCGGAAUUACUGGGCGUAAAGCGCGUGUAGGCGGGUCUGUUAAGUCUUGUGUGAAAGCCCUGGGGCUCAACCCAGGAAGUGCACGGGAAACUGGCAGACUAGAGUGCGGGAGAAGAGGGCGGAAUUCCCGGUGUAGAGGUGAAAUUCGUAGAUAUCGGGGGGAACACCAGUAGCGAAGGCGGCUCUCUAGACCGACACUGACGCUCAGACGCGAAGGCGUGGGGAGCAAACAGGAUUAGAUACCCUGGUAGUCCACGCAGUAAACGAUGGAUACUAGAUGUUGGGGGCUUGACCCCUUCAGCGUCGCAGCUAACGCAUUAAGUAUCCCGCCUGGGGACUACGGUCGCAAGACUA
This 373-nucleotide ribosomal RNA is filed under the name uncultured organism. RNAcentral describes it as "partial 16S ribosomal RNA". It matches the Rfam family "Bacterial small subunit ribosomal RNA", at positions 526 to 896 of the family's 1533-position model. The record is from RNAcentral.